RNAcentral lists this unclassified non-coding RNA (240 nucleotides) under uncultured fungus. Its description in RNAcentral is "sequence contains ITS1". Lineage: Eukaryota; Fungi. The record is from RNAcentral.
GUAUUAAUUGCGUGUGAUCGCAAAAGAAAAACAUUCUACACUGUAUCGAGUUUGUGUGAAAACGCGAGCCCCCUCCGAGAUGAUCCCAAAGGGUGCCCACGCGGUGAUGCACAAAGGGUGAGAUGGAUUAUUAUGUGAGGAAACACACCCGGGCGUGCACGACAUUGAGUCAGCGACAGCCCUUGCAUGCCCCUCACAUUUUGUACGAUAAUGAUCCUUCCGCAGGUUCACCUACGGAAA